Non-coding RNA from Dermacentor andersoni, 1686 nucleotides. Lineage: Eukaryota; Metazoa; Arthropoda; Arachnida; Ixodida; Ixodidae. The record is from RefSeq and is a predicted model, not a curated record.
CGCGCACCUGCUCGCUUGCGCGCUCGACGGCCUUUCAAGCGUCCGCGAGCAUAUACUAUAGCUCCGCACAGCAUCUGCACUCUGAGGCUCUGCAACUAGCGUGCAGCGUUGCCAAAGCUGCGGCGGUAGCCGGACAUCACAGUUAAGGACAAACAUGACCACUGGAGGGAUCAUAUGACAUCACCAUCUAGAGCCCGGGAGGCUCCCUGGUAGACAUGGAGCAGGCAUUACAGCCUGCCCUGGAUGCCACGGAAGAGUACCUACUAGACAAAGUGAUAAAGCGGCACUUCCCCCACGCGGACCUGAGGAAGCAUCCCGCGGUGGAAAACAACCACAAACAUUGGCCACCAUGCCGAACAAAAUAAGGCGGAAACGAAAUAAUACGGGAUCUGCCAGCGUGAGUCAAAUUGCAUUCUUGCGCCCUUUAACGAAGCGAGCGCCUUCUGUCGAACACAGGGUCACGGGCUGCAUGAGGAGCACCAGUUCGAGCUACAGCCGUUUGCACAGCUCGUUUCCUCAACGGUGAUGCACUUGCGACAGUGGCUCUUUAUAUUGUCAGACAACGAUGCAAGCAAAGAUGCACAAGUGCUUUAUUGAACAAUGCGGAGCAAGGAAUACGAUAUUGUCCAGAAACCUGAGCAAGAACGAAGCAGCGGUAAGCGCAACGUCAUCUUUUGAAGCCCACUGUAUAUACAAACGUAAAAAAAUUAAAAAAAAAAAAACAUGCGGGGGUUCUAGUGCGAGGCACGUGCGGCUUCUGCCGCGUAUUCUCCGUUGAACGGCUUUCCGGUUUGCUCUGCUUUCUUUUUCUUGUUGUUUUGGAAAACUCCUGCGCAGUAGCACAGCGCUAUUGGACACCAGGACAUAUGGUGGCGCCAUCUGGGAGCGCGCCACCGACGUAGUAUGAGGGAUAACACGGCACGCGCCCCUUGUAGUUUGGAUGCCUUCGCUCAAAUGAAACGCCGCGUGGCCGCCUUUCUUUCCGUAAACGCCUUCAAAACCAGAGAAUUUGGUAACUGUAAAAUAAGUGGUCCUGAGCAAAUGCACGAAAACAGUGCGCGGAUAUUGCACUAAAGUUCACCGAGGCCCGAGCCAGUUGUCUCCUUCUUUUUCUUUCUUUUUCUUUUUUGCGUGAAAGAAGCAAUCAAAUAUCGUUGUAUUGUACACUGCCUGUAAAACAACAGCCAAUACCACCUACUGCAGCGAUCGCGCGGAUUUUCUCACAGAGUUGGUAAAGCAUCAUCAAAAGGCAGCAAGGUCAUCUAUCCUUCUUGUAUCUGUGUGUUCAUUUCACUCUUGAAAUCUGAGAAAUAACGAACAUCGUAAAAGAGUGGAACAUAAUUAUGCUGUGGAAGACCGUUACAAUGUUUUCCUCCUGACAACGAGCGCUCCACUAUAAUUGUAACUUGCUUUCUUGCGGGAACCUUAACCAUCACUACAAUGAUGCAUAAUUGUUAUUAAUAAGGUAAACAGCACCAGCAUCUGAUGAUGACAUCCAUCUGAAUCGGGGCGGCGAGAAAUAGUCACGUAUUCUGCGUACACUAAUUAGGUGUUACUUUAUCUGCUGUAACCUGAAGUGCUCCCUAUCUCUGCUCUAUAUUGCAAUACUGCUGUACCUCUAAUGAUCCCGUUCGCGACUCUUUCUUGCUUUUCCCCCACCAAUAUUCGCAUCGUCUUUUGCUGAUC